GUGGGGAAUAUUGGGCAAUGGGCGAAAGCCUGACCCAGCAACGCCGCGUGAAGGAAGAAGGUCUUCGGAUCGUAAACUUCUAUCCUUGGUGAAGAUAAUGACGGUAGCCGAGAAGGAAGCCCCGGCUAACUACGUGCCAGCAGCCGCGGUAAUACGUAGGGGGCAAGCGUUGUCCGGAAUGAUUGGGCGUAAAGGGCGCGUAGGCGGCCUUCUAAGUCCGAUGUGAAAGUCCUGCUUUUAAGGUGGGAAUUGCAUUGGAAACUGGAGGGCUUGAGUGCAGGAGAGGUAAGUGGAAUUCCCGGUGUAGCGGUGAAAUGCGUAGAGAUCGGGAGGAACACCAGUGGCGAAGGCGACUUACUGGACUGUAACUGACGCUGAGGCGCGAAAGUGUGGGGAGCAAACAGGAUUAGAAACCCCAGUAGUCC
This 425-nucleotide ribosomal RNA is filed under the name uncultured bacterium. Its description in RNAcentral is "partial 16S ribosomal RNA". It matches the Rfam family "Bacterial small subunit ribosomal RNA", at positions 354 to 796 of the family's 1533-position model. The record is from RNAcentral.